Molecule: ribosomal RNA, 424 nt
Filed under: uncultured bacterium
Lineage: Bacteria
Description: partial 16S ribosomal RNA
Rfam family: Bacterial small subunit ribosomal RNA
Source: RNAcentral
AAUAUUGGACAAUGGGGGGAACCCUGAUCCAGCGAUGCCGCGUGUGUGAAGAAGGCCUGCGGGUUGUAAAGCACUUUCAGUGGGAAAGAGAAGCGUCUUGUCAAUAAUGGGACGUGGAGACGUUACUCACAGAAGAAGCACCGGCUAACUCUGUGCCAGCAGCCGCGGUAAUACAGAGGGUGCGAGCGUUAAUCGGAGUAACUGGGCGUAAAGGGCACGUAGGCGGUUAUAUUAGUCUGAUGUGAAAGACCUGGGCUUAACCUGGGAUGUGCAUUGGAAACGGUAUAGCUAGAGUUUGGGAGAGGGAAGUGGAAUUUCCGGUGUAGCGGUGAAAUGCGUAGAGAUCGGAAAGAACACUCGUGGCGAAGGCGGCCUUCUGGCCCAAAACUGACGCUGAGGUGCGAAAGCGUGGGGAGCAAACAGG